This 235-nucleotide ribosomal RNA is filed under the name uncultured bacterium. RNAcentral describes it as "partial 16S ribosomal RNA". It matches the Rfam family "Bacterial small subunit ribosomal RNA", at positions 29 to 248 of the family's 1533-position model. The record is from RNAcentral.
AACGAACGUUAAGCGGCGCGCCUAACACAUGCAAGUCGCACGAGAAAGGGCUUCGGCCCCGGUACAGUGGCGCACGGGUGAGUAACACGUAGAUCAUCUCCCCUCGAGUGGUGGAUAACUCUCCGAAAGGAGAGCUAAUACAGCAUGAGACCACGGCUUCGUUGAAGCUGCGGCCAAAAGCAGGCCUCUACACGUAAGCUUGCGCUUGAGGAUGAGUCUGCGGCCCAUCAGCUAG